RNAcentral lists this transfer RNA (73 nucleotides) under Nitrosopumilus sp. CG10_big_fil_rev_8_21_14_0_10_33_7. RNAcentral describes it as "tRNA-Val". It matches the Rfam family "tRNA". Rfam says of the family: Transfer RNA (tRNA) molecules are approximately 80 nucleotides in length. Their secondary structure includes four short double-helical elements and three loops (D, anti-codon, and T loops). Lineage: Archaea; Thermoproteati; Nitrososphaerota; Nitrososphaeria; Nitrosopumilales; Nitrosopumilaceae. The record is from RNAcentral.
GGACCGGUUGUCUAGUGGUUAGGAUGACGCACUCACACCGCAAAGGUCGUGGGUUCAAAUCCCAUCCGGUCCA